AGCUAUACUGAUUUGCCACGAUGAACAUGCAUGUUGCAAUGGAAAUGAAGAAAAUAAUACGAAUGGAGAAAAGCAUUGUUGAAGAGAGGAAGAUGAGUGGUUGGAAAGCAAGAGGUUUGAAAGAAGGGAAUGAAAUUAUAUUGAGUGAGAGGUUCGGUUGAUGAGAGUUGGAGAAGAAGGGAAAUUCUAACUUUUCUUUUCUUUGUUAUCGAUAUUUCUUCCAUUGAUUUGUGAGUGAA
This 239-nucleotide long non-coding RNA is filed under the name Medicago truncatula (barrel medic). RNAcentral describes it as "long non-coding RNA (MTRU_LNC008321)". The record is from RNAcentral. Lineage: Eukaryota; Viridiplantae; Streptophyta; Magnoliopsida; Fabales; Fabaceae.